AUGGCUCUCAGUGCCGGCGUCACAAUGGGCAGUUCAGUAGCUCCUAGAAGCUUCACAAGUUGGGGAACAACUCCCUUCUUCACAACCAUCUCAAUGUGCUCAGUUGGCCCAUCAGUCAGAUGCCAUCCUCUGUGUGCAGUGCAGAUUGUUGUCCUGGAUUCAGAAGAUUCUGGAAGGAGGGAAUGGCAGCCUGCUGUUUUGUUUGUAGCCCCUGCCCUGAAAAUGCAAGUUCUAAUGAGACAAGUGAGUGUUUGCUGCUCUGAUAAAUUCUGAAGAUAUAUAUUCCUCUUGUGCCCCAAUGGGAUUAUAAAGUCAAUUAACAGGCAACUGAAAAUAUAAAAUAUAUUACUUUUCUAACUUACUAGUUGUAGAUAUAAAAAUAAUUAACAAAUCUUGCCAAAAUAAAAAAAACAUUAUCUCUUUUGUGUUGUUGUAAAAUUUUAUUGAAAUGCUGUCUUUUAUCUCCACUAGACCCAGCACUGCAUUGUCCCCAAAUAUCUGCUAGAUAUCUUGCCAGAAACACACAUCCCAACUCUGUGGUGGCCCAGUUUCUCUGCUGCCACACACUCUCCCAAACUCAAUUCUCCACAAGAAAGAACACACAACAUUAUAACCUCUGAUCCAAUAGAUAAGAUAUAAUUGCCCACCUAAACAUACAAAGCCUUGUACACAUCCAUCCUUUAAGAAUAUUCAUAACAACCUAUAGCUACACAGAGUGGAAUCUUAAGGUCAGCCUCCAUGUUCUCUCCAUGGCUCUCUUCCAGUCUCCUCCCAUUCCAGUCUCCUCCUCUUCCCUCAAACUUUUUUCCCCACCCAUCCUUCCUUCUCGUCCAAUGACAGGCAUCUUUCUAUUUUGUACUUGCCUUCACCUGCAUAAUGAAUGUUAUCAUCCCAC
RNAcentral lists this long non-coding RNA (895 nucleotides) under Rattus norvegicus (Norway rat). Its description in RNAcentral is "long non-coding RNA NONRATT031995". The record is from RNAcentral. Lineage: Eukaryota; Metazoa; Chordata; Mammalia; Rodentia; Muridae.